CCUACGGGAGGCUGCAGUAGGGAAUAUUGCUCAAUGGGGGAAACCCUGAAGCAGCAACGCCGCGUGGAGGAUGAAGGUUUUCGGAUUGUAAACUCCUUUUGUUAGAGAAGAUAGUGACGGUAUCUAACGAAUAAGCACCGGCUAACUCCGUGCCAGCAGCCGCGGUAAUACGGAGGGUGCAAGCGUUACUCGGAAUAACUGGGCGUAAAGAGCGCGUAGGCGGGAUAGCAAGUCAGAUGUGAAAUCCCAUGGCUUAACCAUAGAACUGCAUUGGAAACUGUUAUUCUAGAGUGUGGGAGAGGUAGGUGGAAUUCUUGGUGUAGCGGUGAAAUCCGUAGAGAUCAAGAGGAAUACUGAUGGCGAAGGCGACUUACUAGACCAUAACUGACGCUGAUGCGCGAAAGCGUGGGGAGCAAACAGGAUUAGAUACCCGGGUAGUC
This 440-nucleotide ribosomal RNA is filed under the name uncultured bacterium. RNAcentral's name for it is "partial 16S ribosomal RNA". It matches the Rfam family "Bacterial small subunit ribosomal RNA", at positions 338 to 795 of the family's 1533-position model. The record is from RNAcentral.